AUACGAAGGGGGCUAGCGUUGUUCGGAUUUACUGGGCGUAAAGCGCACGUAGGCGGAUUGAUUAGUUAGGGGUGAAAUCCCGAGGCUCAACCUCGGAACUGCCUUUAAUACUGUCAAUCUCGAGACCGGAAGAGGUGAGUGGAACUCCUAGUGUAGAGGUGGAAUUCGUAGAUAUUAGGAAGAACACCAGUGGCGAAGGCGGCUCACUGGUCCGGUACUGACGCUGAGGUGCGAAAGCGUGGGGAGCGAACAGGAUUAGAUACCCUAGUAGUCC
RNAcentral lists this ribosomal RNA (274 nucleotides) under uncultured bacterium. RNAcentral's name for it is "partial 16S ribosomal RNA". It matches the Rfam family "Bacterial small subunit ribosomal RNA", at positions 523 to 796 of the family's 1533-position model. The record is from RNAcentral.